Molecule: ribosomal RNA, 253 nt
Filed under: uncultured bacterium
Lineage: Bacteria
Description: partial 16S ribosomal RNA
Rfam family: Bacterial small subunit ribosomal RNA
Source: RNAcentral
UACGUAGGGGGCAAGCGUUGUUCGGAAUUACUGGGCGUAAAGGGCGCGUAGGCGGCACGGCAAGUCAGGAGUGAAAGCCCUGGGCUCAACCCGGGAACUGCUUUUGAAACUGCCGAGCUAGAGUGCGGAAGGGGCAACUGGAAUUCCCAGUGUAGCGGUGAAAUGCGUAGAUAUUGGGAAGAACACCUGAGGCGAAGGCGGGUUGCUGGGCCGACACUGACGCUGAGGUGCGAAAGCGUGGGGAGCAAACAGG